UGGCUUAGUGGUUAAGAGCACUGGAUGCUCUUCCAGAGGUCCUGAGUUCAAUUCCCAG
RNAcentral lists this transfer RNA (58 nucleotides) under Cricetulus griseus (Chinese hamster). The record is from Rfam by way of RNAcentral. Lineage: Eukaryota; Metazoa; Chordata; Mammalia; Rodentia; Cricetidae.